RNAcentral lists this ribosomal RNA (300 nucleotides) under uncultured soil bacterium. RNAcentral's name for it is "bacterial SSU rRNA". It matches the Rfam family "Bacterial small subunit ribosomal RNA", at positions 26 to 350 of the family's 1533-position model. The record is from RNAcentral.
AGAACGAACGCUGGCGGCAUGCCUAAUACAUGCAAGUCGAACGAACUCUUCGGAGUUAGUGGCGCACGGGUGCGUAACGCGUGGGAAUCUGCCCCUUGGUCCGGAAUAACAGUUGGAAACGACUGCUAAUACCGGAUGAUGACGAAAGUCCAAAGAUUUAUCGCCCAGGGAUGAGCCCGCGUAGGAUUAGCUAGUUGGUGAGGUAAAGGCUCACCAAGGCGACGAUCCUUAGCUGGUCUGAGAGGAUGAUCAGCCACACUGGGACUGACGACGACGGCCCAGACUCCGUACGGGACGGCA